AUAUGUGUUAAAAUAUAGGAAAAUAAAUCUGACAGGAAGGGGCAUUAGUUCAUCGGAAGUAUUCUAAUGAAAACUCAAAAUUCUUUCUAACGAGCUAUUAUGAUACGGCAAUGAGAUAAGCAGCAAAUUGGCUCAUAGACAUUUGGGUGAUUUGUGGUAGUUUAACACCUC
Molecule: non-coding RNA, 171 nt
Organism: Caenorhabditis elegans
Lineage: Eukaryota; Metazoa; Nematoda; Chromadorea; Rhabditida; Rhabditidae
Source: Ensembl